UACAGAGGGUGAAAGCGUUGUUCGGAAUUAUUGGGCGUAAAGCGCGUGUAGGCGGCUUUGCAAGUCGGGUGUGAAAGCCCUCGGCUCAACCGAGGAAGUGCGCCCGAAACUGCAGAGCUUGAGUACCGGAGAGGGAUGCGGAAUUCCAGGUGUAGCGGUGAAAUGCGUAGAUAUCUGGAGGAACACCGGUGGCGAAGGCGGCAUCCUGGACCAACACUGACGCUGAGUGAGCGAAAGCCAGGGGAGCAAACGGG
RNAcentral lists this ribosomal RNA (254 nucleotides) under uncultured bacterium. RNAcentral's name for it is "partial 16S ribosomal RNA". It matches the Rfam family "Bacterial small subunit ribosomal RNA", at positions 524 to 776 of the family's 1533-position model. The record is from RNAcentral.